Phrynosoma platyrhinos (Desert horned lizard) is the source of this 73-nucleotide non-coding RNA. Lineage: Eukaryota; Metazoa; Chordata; Lepidosauria; Squamata; Phrynosomatidae. The record is from the annotation of a GenBank genome assembly.
GCCUGCAUAGUGCAGUGGUCUGAGCAUUGGACUAGGACUCCAGGUGACCAGUGUUUGAAUCCCUGCUCAGCCA